GACAGAGGGUGCAACCGUUGUUCGGAAUUACUGGGCAUAAAGCGCACGUAGGUGGUCCACUAAGUCGAGUGUGAAAUCCCCCGGCUCAACCGGGGAAUUGCGCUCGAUACUGGCGGGCUAGAGGUCGAUAGGGGUGAGCGGAACUCCAGGUGGAGCGGUGAAAUGCGUAGAUAUCUGGAGGAACACCGGUGGCGAAAGCGGCUCACUGGAUCGAAACUGACACUGAGGUGCGAAAGCUAGGGUAGCAAACGGG
This 253-nucleotide ribosomal RNA is filed under the name uncultured bacterium. RNAcentral's name for it is "partial 16S ribosomal RNA". It matches the Rfam family "Bacterial small subunit ribosomal RNA", at positions 524 to 776 of the family's 1533-position model. The record is from RNAcentral.